UGAAUACAUAAAAUUGUAUUCAUUUUCCAAUUAGUAUUUAUUGUACUUCUACUACAGCCUGGGUUUUAGACUACGCAAUUUCACCCUAGCUAUUAACAAAAAUAUAGACUCUCAGAGCUAAACAGCAGUCAGUGAAGCUAAAUAUUAUAAUACAUGAUCCACUUUUGUAAACUAGUGAAUAAGAGCCUUUUCUUGUCCUAUCUGAUGCAUUAUAAAGAUCAUCAGGAAGGAAACCAAAAUACUGCCCAAGAGAAUUAAUAAAAAGGCCAUCCUAGUUCCAAACAAACUGGGGCUAUAGGUCAAAAGGCAAAUUUAAGUCUGACAAAAGGUAGAAGAUAUGUUCUGCUGUAAAAUUUGUAAUCGAAGAAAGCCAAUCGAAGGUCUCAUUGCAAUUUUAUACACAGUUUUCAGAAGCAAAUCACAAGAAAUACAGCCCAGAUAAAAAGAGAAUAAUCAAAUGCACUCUUAUAGUAUAUUACCACAUCAAUAGUUGAGAAGGAUUAAAUACGAUUAAAGACCAUCAUCAAUAUGGUAAUUGCACGGAGUAAUGGAUUCCAUGAUACAUGAAUCCUUAUUCUCAGGGUCAGAGCUGAUUUGAUUAAUUUCUGUGCAUCUGAGUACUCUGGAGAAUGUCCUGGUCCCUGAAGCUGCAGGUGUGAUCACUGUCUGUGGCAAAACACUUACUUCGAUAAGAGGUGAUUCCCUGUGGUCCCUGCCAUGCAUAGCAACAACCCGCAAGCAUCCAAGAGAAUCAAAUUAAAUCAGAGUUAGUAUAACCCUGUCAUGAGAAUAUUAAUUGGAUACUAGCAAAGGCUACCAAAGGUCUUCCAAAUAUCAGACAAUUAAAUUCAACUUAGUAGUAGAGGUCAAUUCAAUUUAGUAGUCAUUGAUUACUUAUCUUUUUUUAAAAAAAUAUUUUUAUAGUUGUA
Molecule: long non-coding RNA, 929 nt
Filed under: Marmota monax (woodchuck)
Lineage: Eukaryota; Metazoa; Chordata; Mammalia; Rodentia; Sciuridae
Source: RNAcentral